Molecule: ribosomal RNA, 1497 nt
Filed under: uncultured Glomeromycotina
Lineage: Eukaryota; Fungi; Glomeromycota
Description: eukaryotic LSU rRNA
Rfam family: Eukaryotic large subunit ribosomal RNA (bases 674-1497)
Source: RNAcentral
CCUAGUAAGCACAAGUCACUAGCUUGUGCUGAUUACGUCCCUGCCCUUUGUACACACCGCCCGUCGCUACUACCGAUUGAAUGGCUCAGUGAGGCCUUCGGAUCGGAGGUGAGGACUAGCAAUAGACCUUACUCUCGAGAAGUUGGUCAAACUUGGUCAUUUAGAGGAAGUAAAAGCCGUAACAAGGUUUCCGUAGGUGAACCUGCGGAAGGAUCAUUACCAAUCUUUAGUGAGCCUGGACUUGUUCAUGGUCUCGCGAAAUCUUGUAUUUAAAACCUACUCUUAAUAAUUAAAAAAAAUGUAUUAAUGAUAAAUUAAGAUCACUUUCAACAACGGAUCUCUUGGCUCUCGCAUCGAUGAAGAACGUAGCGAAGUGCGAUAAGUAGUGUGAAUUGCAGAAUUCCGUGAAUCAUCGAAUUUUUGAACGCAAAUUGCACUCCCUGGCAUUCCGGGGAGUAUGCCUGUUUGAGGGUCAGUUUAAAUAAAAUUGACGUGUCGCUUUUGUGACAUUUCGGAUUUGGGUUGUCUUAACCUUUUAGGUUAAGAGGCCUGAAAUUAAUAAUUUUUUUGCGCAUCCUAGACGUGUAUAAAUCGCUUAUCCGUUUUUGGGUGGUAACCUCUUUAUUAGGUAUGGUCACUUUGUAUGAUCUCGUACCUAUAAUUUUUCAUGAUUUGACCUCAAAUCAGGUAGGAGUACCCGCUGAACUUAAGCAUAUCAAUAAGCGGAGGAAAAGAAGAUAACAAUGAUUCCCCUAGUAACUGCGAGUGAAGAGGGAUAAGCUCAAAUUUUAAAUCUGUCAGGUGUUACCUGACCGAGUUGUAAUUUGAAGAAGCGUUUUCCGCGCGUUCUGGCCAGCCCAAGUUCCUUGGAACAGGGCAUCAUGGAGGGUGAGAAUCCCGUUUGGUUGGUCAGCUGCGUUUUAUGAUACGCUUUCAAAGAGUCAAGUUGUUUGGGAUUGCAGCUUAAAAUGGGAGGUAAAUUUCUCCUAAGGCUAAAUAACGGCGAGAGACCGAUAGCGAACAAGUACCGUGAGGGAAAGAUGAGAAGCAUUUUGAAAAGAAAGUCAAAUAGUACGUGAAAUUGUUGAAAGGGAAAUGAUUGAAGUCAGUCGUACCGAUGGGCAUUCAACUUCUCGGGCGCGAUUAUGUUGGGUGUUGGGGAGCUUAACCGCCCUCGUGCUUGCGUAUUUGUGUCCUUGAGGUGUACUUGUCCGUAUGGUAAGUUAACAUCAAUUUUGGUUGUCAUAAAAUGACUGGAGGAAUGUAGCUUCGAUCUCGUAUUGAAGUGUUAUAGCCUCUGGUAGAUGUGAUGAUCGGGAUUGAGGAUUGCAACGAACCCUUCGGGGCUACCUGUCUGGCCUCUGGUGGUCGCUCUGGUACCGAAAGCGUGCUUACGGUUACCAAAGUUGGUUGCCAAAAGGUUAGAACGGGAUAAUUUCGUUAAGGAUGUUGACGUAAUGGCUUUAAACGACCCGUCUUGAAACACGGACCAAGGAG